AUGCACCGGCGUGUUGGGCGCGCUGACCAGCAUGCGGACGGGCCGGACGCCACUCAAAACGCCGACCCAAAGCGGGCAAAACACACGUCCAUUUGCAUCGGCAGGUUGGCGGUGAGGUCCCGAAAGAGGGGAUAUUUCUUUGAUGCAAACUCAACCGCAAUUCAGGGAAAUGAAGGACUGUGCGGGGGCAUCCCUGGAACGAAGUUGCCUCCGUGUUCCACCAACGCCUCCAAGAAACGGCCUUUGAAGCAUAUCAUGACAAUCUCCAUAAGCAGUGGACUCCUAUUGCAUAUCGUCCUUGUAGCAAUGUUUGCUUGCUGGUACAGCAGGAGGAGCAAGCCACACCAAGCUAACACAGACUCAUCACUCGUCAAUGAUUUACAUGUCAGAGUAUCUUAUGCUGAAUUAGCCAAUGCAACAAAUGGUUUUGCUUCUGAGAACCUCAUCGGAGUAGGAAGCUUCGGCUCGGUGUACAAGGGAAGAAUGGUGAUCCAUGGCCAGCAGGUCAUUGUUGCUGUCAAAGUGUUCAAUCUGCAACAACGUAGCGCAUCUCAAAGUUUUCUUGCAGAAUGCGAGACCCUAAGUUGUGUUCGGCAUCGAAACCUUGUGAAGAUCUUGACAGUCUGCUCAAGUAUGGCUUUCCACAGCCAGGAUUUCAAAGCUCUUUUGUUUGAAUUUCUACCGAAUGGAAAUUUGGACCAAUGA
RNAcentral lists this ribosomal RNA (705 nucleotides) under Triticum aestivum (bread wheat). Its description in RNAcentral is "partial small subunit ribosomal RNA". The record is from RNAcentral. Lineage: Eukaryota; Viridiplantae; Streptophyta; Magnoliopsida; Poales; Poaceae.